This 540-nucleotide ribosomal RNA is filed under the name Escherichia coli. RNAcentral's name for it is "partial 23S ribosomal RNA". It matches the Rfam family "Bacterial large subunit ribosomal RNA", at positions 1 to 580 of the family's 2925-position model. Lineage: Bacteria; Pseudomonadati; Pseudomonadota; Gammaproteobacteria; Enterobacterales; Enterobacteriaceae. The record is from RNAcentral. RNAcentral also lists the same sequence under 4 other names.
GGUUAAGCGACUAAGCGUACACGGUGGAUGCCCUGGCAGUCAGAGGCGAUGAAGGACGUGCUAAUCUGCGAUAAGCGUCGGUAAGGUGAUAUGAACCGUUAUAACCGGCGAUUUCCGAAUGGGGAAACCCAGUGUGUUUCGACACACUAUCAUUAACUGAAUCCAUAGGUUAAUGAGGCGAACCGGGGGAACUGAAACAUCUAAGUACCCCGAGGAAAAGAAAUCAACCGAGAUUCCCCCAGUAGCGGCGAGCGAACGGGGAGCAGCCCAGAGCCUGAAUCAGUGUGUGUGUUAGUGGAAGCGUCUGGAAAGGCGCGCGAUACAGGGUGACAGCCCCGUACACAAAAAUGCACAUGCUGUGAGCUCGAUGAGUAGGGCGGGACACGUGGUAUCCUGUCUGAAUAUGGGGGGACCAUCCUCCAAGGCUAAAUACUCCUGACUGACCGAUAGUGAACCAGUACCGUGAGGGAAAGGCGAAAAGAACCCCGGCGAGGGGAGUGAAAAAGAACCUGAAACCGUGUACGUACAAGCAGUGGGAGC